AUGAACGCUGGCGGCGUGCCUAAUACAUGCCAGUAGAACGCUGAAGGAAGGAGCUUGCUCUUUCCGGAUGAGUUGCGAACGGGUGAGUAACGCGUAGGUAACCUGCCUGGUAGCGGGGGAUAACUAUUGGAAACGAUAGCUAAUACCGCAUAACAGUAGAUGUUGCAUGAUAUCUACUUAAAAGGUGCAAUUGCACCACUACCAGAUGGACCUGCGUUGUAUUAGCUAGUUGGUGAGGUAACGGCUCACCAAGGCGACGAUACAUAGCCGACCUGAGAGGGUGAUCGGCCACACUGGGACUGAGACACGGCCCAGACUCCUACGGGAGGCAGCAGUAGGGAAUCUUCGGCAAUGGACGGAAGUCUGACCGAGCAACGCCGCGUGAGUGAAGAAGGGUUUCGGAUCGUAAAGCUCUGUUGUAAGAGAAGAACGAGUGUGAGAGUGGAAAGUUCACACUGUGACGGUAUCUUACCAGAAAGGGACGGCUAACUACGUG
This 496-nucleotide ribosomal RNA is filed under the name uncultured bacterium. RNAcentral describes it as "partial 16S ribosomal RNA". It matches the Rfam family "Bacterial small subunit ribosomal RNA", at positions 29 to 507 of the family's 1533-position model. The record is from RNAcentral.